AAAUUGCGGGCCGGAGGGAUCACCUGAUUUUCAGAUCGGGUCACUGAAAUUCUCAAAAAAAAAAAAUUGGGUUGGAUCAUCGAAUUUUCGAACGCCAAUACUUACGAACUUCAUUUUUUUUUUGUUUUUUAAUAAACACAACAUCAUGUUCGUCUUUAGCAACCAAACCUUACAAAUUAGAAUCAAAGAUGAAGUCAAUGGGCUUAGCCACUUUCUUAACUUUAAUUUCUUCUAUCACUCGGACUUUUCUUUGGGCUUUUCAUUGGUCGUUCAACACUCAAAAGUCAAAACAAACCAUCAUCAAACACUCAAUCUCAAUCUGUUAGUCUAUCAGUGUCAAUCAAUACCUCCCUUGUUCCUCAUUUCUUUCAUUUGCCUCUAAAUCUCUAAUUACACGAAAUUACUACUCCCUAAUUACAAAUUAAUAAGUUUUUAUUAACUAAUUCUCUAAUAAGAAUUGUGGAAGAAAUUAUCAAUAAUGGCGAGGCCGGGUAAAAGAAGAAGAGGAAGGCCCCGUAAAUACCCUGUUCCACAAUAUCCUCCUGAGUUUUUCAAAAUUUAUCUACCAGAACACAAUUCUAAGCAAUUGGUAAUACCUCCUGGUUUUAUAAGGAAUUUCAGAGAGAAGACUCCAUAAUCUUGAAAAGCUUAAAAGGAGAAGUUUGGAAUGUGGAUCUGGAAAAGGAAGGAGGCCAGUUACUUAUGAAAAAGGGUUGGGAAGACUUUGUGACAGGCACUUCAGUAGCGCGAGGAGUGUUUUUGGUCUUUACAUACAAAGGGAAUUCCGUGUUCGUUGUCAAAAUAUUCAGUAUCAAUGGAUGUGUGAAGGAGGAUGAACCUAUGGGCACCAAUGAUCAGCCUCAUGUGACAUUGAAGCAGGAGCCAAACUUUGAUGAAAAUUAUAGCCAUCAUACUGAUGUCUGAGAAUAUAUAUUUAGAAAGAAGCACGAAAAUAGAGCAGAUGUCUCAAGAUACGCAUGAAGUAAUGACAAGAGGUGUUUCAGAAGGAUACAUUGAUUCAAAGAGGAUACGAUUUACAAGUGUUAAUAAGGGAAAGAUAUAUGAAUUGGUAAUUAUUUUUAUAUAUGUUUGCAUUAUAGUUUAUACUGCCUUUUUCUGUUCAUUAAGCUUCCGUUUUUCGUCCAAUAUUUUAUAGUAUCAAAUGUAUACAUUAAUUAUGACACAUUUAUGUAGGCAUGCUAAGAGUAAAAUGUUCCAAGAAGAUGAAGGGUAUUAUGUGAUAAUCUCUGUUAUGAACUGUAUAAUACAAAGUUAGAAAAAUAAAUAACUAAAGCUGAAAUGAUCAGGCAAUUCUUUUUA
Molecule: long non-coding RNA, 1320 nt
Organism: Chenopodium quinoa (quinoa)
Lineage: Eukaryota; Viridiplantae; Streptophyta; Magnoliopsida; Caryophyllales; Amaranthaceae
Exons: 4
Source: RefSeq, a predicted model, not a curated record